CCAGAGCUAGAAGUACAAAAAUAGGUAAGAAAGGCUCACAUCACUAUAUAAAUUGUUUUACGAUAAACUCUCACAUCUCACAUAGAUGGCAGCUCAAAUGAUUUAUUUUGUCCACAAAUUUUUAUCAACAAUUUCAUUAACAUUAAAAAAAUAUAUGAAAAAGAGAUUAUUUGUAUUUAUUAUCUGUAUUUAUAUUAACCAAAUUGGAUUAAUAGUUUCGAUGUAAUGUCACUUUGUAAACAGUUCUUUACCAUACAGACUUUUUUUUGUAUAUACGACGCUGGCGCCGCCACUUGGCAAAUUAUUAUAUUUACAAGUAAUAACGCGCUUAAAUGACGCGCGGUACGUGUGACAACUGACAAUAGAUAACGAAAUGAUGCAAGUUUCAUAAAAUUGCAUUAAUGUUUUUUCGUAUCGCUUUUAAUUUUUCCGAAAUAUUUCUUACUGCAAAGUUACUCACUAAUGAAAUGAAACAAUGUGUACUCGAGUAAUAAUAUUAUAUAAAUAUCGUAUUGUCUUGUACAUAAUACAAUUGUAAUACUUCAAAUAUACAAUGAAGUUAUUAAUUUUUAUUCCGCAAACUUUUAACAGCGAAAAAUCUGGCUAUGUGUUUGGUAAAGUUAUAUAUGACAGGCAUAGGGAUAUCAAGAAAUAUUAUAUUAUUGCUAUUUGCGAAAAAGAUGUCAUUGAAAUAAACAAAUCUAUUAACCUCAUUGGUUAUUACCACAAUACAAAUGAUAUUAUCGAAAAUGUAGAUAAAAAGUGUAUAGAUUGGAUAAAUAUUUAUCUCGUUGCAGUUAACUCAUCGUCUAAUAGCAAUUACUAUUACUGCAUAGAAAAUAUAAUAAGUAAUAAUAAAAAAAUUAGUCUAUCAUCUAAUUCUAUGGUGAUAAUAAUUUAUGAUUUGUUAGCUUUGCAAGAGACUGAACUAUUUGCUUGUAGAACAACUUCAAACGAUCACUUUUAUGAACUGAUGAGAAUAUUACAAACGGAGGAAGUUAAACAUAGUAUCAAAGUAAAAUCUAAAUUAGAUUCCAUUAAAGAAACUGUCAUUCAUUAUUAUACACUUUUCUGUUUGAUUCCGAUUAUUUUUUUCCUAAACAUGACUAACAAAUUACUACCAGUAUUAAAAUAUUCAUCAUUGGGAAUACAUUUAAAUGGAUGGUUGGAAAACGUUAAAUGGAUUUUCAUAAAUAUAAUGCAAAAGAAAAGAAUUUCCUUGAAAACGGGAAAUUAUAUCGUAGCAACAAUUAUAGAUAUUUUAUUGGGCGUAAUAGUCUUAAAACUGUUGUUAUGUUACUUUAAGGACGUAUCACCAUCUCAAGAAUUGUUAAAGAAUGCAGAGAAAGUAGUGGAAUCGUUGAAAAAUUUGAUUCAAUGGCUAAUGGGUGCUCCAGCUGGCUUAAAAUUAAAUUAUGCAUUUAAUAAUAUGCUUGGAAAAUUUUUCCUCUAUCAUAUACACCUAUGGUGGACAUUUCUAAUAUUUAUGACACCUGUCAUGGAUUUUGCAUUUGAAGUAUUAUUAUUGUUUGGAAGGCUCGGUGUUACUUUUCAAAUAUCGAUAGCAUCCGAUCUUUUAGCGCUUAUUAGUUUCCAUACGUAUUGCAUUUAUGUUUAUGCAGCAAGGCUCUUUAAUAUUCAAUUAAAUGCGCUCACAUCUCUAUUUAGACUGUUUUUGGGCAAAAAGAAAAAUCCCUUACGAGAAAGAGUGGAUUCUUGUCAAUAUAAACCAGAUCAACUAUUCGUUGGGACUUUAUUAUUCACUAUUCUUCUAUUUCUUAUACCAACAACAUGGGUGUAUUACACGGUUUUUACUACGCGGACUUUUAGCUAAAUUAAGACUUUAUAUACAAGUUAUGCCUGUCUAUGCAUAUAUUCAAUGGUUAUUCAAUUCUUACUGUACACGUAGUAGCAUUUAUAUGAAAUUACAUUCGCAACAGUCAGAGAGCGAUAUGACGAUAACUUUAUGGAUGACAAUGGUCACAUCUUCGUGGGG
RNAcentral lists this unclassified non-coding RNA (1996 nucleotides) under Polistes dominula (European paper wasp). Its description in RNAcentral is "phosphatidylinositol N-acetylglucosaminyltransferase subunit Q, transcript variant X3". Lineage: Eukaryota; Metazoa; Arthropoda; Insecta; Hymenoptera; Vespidae. The record is from RNAcentral.